CCUACGGGAGGCAGCAGUGGGGAAUAUUUCACAAUGGGGGAAACCCUGAUGCAGCGACGCCGCGUGAGGGAAGAAGUAUUUCGGUACGUAAAGCUCUAGCAGCAGGGAAGAAAAUGACGGUACCUGACUAAGAAGCCCCGGCUAACUACGUGCCAGAAGCCGCGGUAAUACGUAGGGGGCAAGCGUUAUCCGGAUUUACUGGGGUUAAAGGGAGCGUAGACGGCAGCGUAAGUCUGGAGUGAAAUCCCAUGGCUUAACCAUGGAACUGCUUUGGAAACUGUGCAGCUGGAGUGAAGGAGAGGUAAGCGGAAUUCCUGGUGUAGCAGUGAAAUGCGUAGAUAUUAGGAGGAACACCAGUGGCGAAGGCGGCCUGCUGGACGGUGACUGACGCUGAGGCACGAAAGCGUGGGGAGCAAACAGGAUUAGAUACCCCUGUAGUC
RNAcentral lists this ribosomal RNA (440 nucleotides) under uncultured bacterium. RNAcentral's name for it is "partial 16S ribosomal RNA". It matches the Rfam family "Bacterial small subunit ribosomal RNA", at positions 338 to 795 of the family's 1533-position model. The record is from RNAcentral.